GGUCGAUAGGAUGGAAGUGUAAGAACAGAAAUGUUUUCAGCUCACCAUUACUAAUCAGUCGUGAGGCUUGACCAUAU
This 77-nucleotide ribosomal RNA is filed under the name Spirochaetae bacterium HGW-Spirochaetae-5. Its description in RNAcentral is "partial 23S ribosomal RNA". It matches the Rfam family "Bacterial large subunit ribosomal RNA", at positions 2851 to 2925 of the family's 2925-position model. The record is from RNAcentral. Lineage: Bacteria; Pseudomonadati; Spirochaetota.